This 85-nucleotide transfer RNA is filed under the name Felis catus (domestic cat). It matches the Rfam family "tRNA". From Rfam's summary of the family: Transfer RNA (tRNA) molecules are approximately 80 nucleotides in length. Their secondary structure includes four short double-helical elements and three loops (D, anti-codon, and T loops). Lineage: Eukaryota; Metazoa; Chordata; Mammalia; Carnivora; Felidae. The record is from Rfam by way of RNAcentral.
GCCCGGGUGGCUCAGUCGGUUGAGCGUCCGACUUCGGCUCGGGUCAUGAUCUCGCGGUCCGUGAGUUCGAGCCCCGCGUCGGGCU